RNAcentral lists this ribosomal RNA (164 nucleotides) under Camellia hongkongensis. RNAcentral describes it as "5.8S ribosomal RNA". It matches the Rfam family "5.8S ribosomal RNA". Rfam says of the family: 5.8S ribosomal RNA (5.8S rRNA) is a component of the large subunit of the eukaryotic ribosome. It is transcribed by RNA polymerase I as part of the 45S precursor that also contains 18S and 28S rRNA. Functionally, it is thought that 5.8S rRNA may be involved in ribosome translocation. The record is from RNAcentral. Lineage: Eukaryota; Viridiplantae; Streptophyta; Magnoliopsida; Ericales; Theaceae.
UAAACGACUCUCUGUAACGGAUAUCUCGGCUCACGCAUCGAUGAAGAGCGUAGCGAAAUGCGAUACUUGGUGUGAAUUGUAGAAUCUCGUGAACCAUCGAGUCUUUGAACGCAAGUUGCGCCCGAAGCCGUUAGGUUGAGGGCAUGUCUGCCUGGGCGUCUCAC